CACACAGCUGCAGGAUGUGGAGUUUGCCCUGCUGGGUUUCAGUCGCUUUGGUCCAGUACUUCCUCACUAUGCCCCCGUUCCUCCCUUUUGGAAUGGUGAUGUCUAUUCUGUGCCACGUUCUUUUUUGGGCUCGUCUGUGAAGAGGAGUCUUGCUUUCCUGGGUCCGAUUUUAUCAUGAGAAGAACUCAGACCGUCCUCGGGUUACCAGGCUUGUGCAGCAAGCACCUUUACCGGCUGUGUGACCUUCGAGGCAAGCCCUGGAGGAUGUCCACCCUGGCAGCUCUGCUGUCCCUCGCGGGUCCUUUGGCGCCAUGCUCUCCCCUGCCACUGCCAGAGCUGGACACAGAGUCUGGGUGUCAGGCUCAUGUGGUCAGAGAGGACCUGCUUGUCAGAGUCUCUUUGCCAAACACCCUUCUAAACCCAUCUUCACCCAGGUCACCCGCCUCCCUAGCAUGUAAACGUCAGGGACGGCAUCACCCUAAGGCACCCUCCGGUCUAACCAGUCGUAGCUAGGGUUGUAGGAUUGGGCUACACAACACAUCAAGCUUUCCAGAGAAGGAACCAUUGGCGGCCAGCUCUUGGAAGUGGCCCGUGGGCAUAGUAGAUGGCUUGAAAAUCUAUGCAUCAGUCUUCAGCUUCUACCCCUCACUUCCGUGUGGCUUUAGAGAAUUCCCAUGCGAUACUCCAACUCCACCCAGCAAAUGCAGCCACCCAAGUUGUUUCUUCUCGGUGAGGGAAAGCAGAAUACAUUAGACUGCCAAAGGAUACAGAGGGGUUUGGCUCUGAAGUUGUUAGAAAUCCUAUAGAUGAGGAAGCGGGAGGCUGGAGAAGGUUAAACAGCUUGUUAACGGGACCUCAUUUGUUAUCGGGAUUCCAGCCCGAGGUUGCUUCCUUUCUUCAGGGUUUAUGCUCUACCAAACUAGCUUACGUGGGGACAGCCUCUUCUCUGGGGCUGGUGAAAUGGCUAUUCCUAGACCAAUUUCCACUGAAGCAAUACCAUACAGAAAGGCAUGUGCAAGCAAGCACAGCAGAGCAGACAAUUCCCUGGAAGUCUAAGGCAGGAGGAUUCCGAGUUUGAGGCCAGUUUGAGUUAUGCAGCAUUCCAAGCCAUCCUGAGAUAUGUAGAGAAACUCUUUUACAAAAAAGGAAAAAGUUUACCUUCAUUCAUAGCAACUUAUGGACCUAUUUCUAGCCUUGGAAGCUCAGGGUGUUUUUCUCGCUUGGUUUAUAGGUUGUCAAGCCCAGGUCAUGCACUUGGAAAGUGAAAGCCAGCCACUUAGAGCUCCAUCAUGCUGAUGGGUGAGGGGAUGAUGUAAGCUACUUCUGCUCCUGAGUGCACAUCUCCUGCCUGACCUUUGAUCCAAAUCAAUUAAGCAAUGAAAUUAUGAAACCUCACUUCUGAUCAAUACCUUCCGUCCAGAGGGACACUGUGCUGUCCUUACAGACUAUUAUUAGAUUGGGUUUGGAAUGUGAACUGCUGCAUCAUGUAGAAUUAAAACAAAAUAAAGCAAAAGGAAACACUUAAA
Molecule: long non-coding RNA, 1526 nt
Organism: Peromyscus maniculatus bairdii (prairie deer mouse)
Lineage: Eukaryota; Metazoa; Chordata; Mammalia; Rodentia; Cricetidae
Source: RefSeq, a predicted model, not a curated record